GAGGGUAUAGCUCACGUGGUAGAGUGCAUGCUUAGCAUGCAUGAGGUCCUGGGUUCAAUCCCCAGUACUUCCU
Molecule: transfer RNA, 73 nt
Filed under: Camelus bactrianus (Bactrian camel)
Lineage: Eukaryota; Metazoa; Chordata; Mammalia; Artiodactyla; Camelidae
Also listed under: 2 other names
Rfam family: tRNA
About the family: Transfer RNA (tRNA) molecules are approximately 80 nucleotides in length. Their secondary structure includes four short double-helical elements and three loops (D, anti-codon, and T loops).
Source: Rfam by way of RNAcentral